GACGAACGCUGGCGGCGUGCUUAACACAUGCAAGUCGAACGGAAAGGCCCUGCUUUUGUGGGGUGCUCGAGUGGCGAACGCGUGAGUAACACGUGAGUAACCUGCCCUUGACUUUGGGAUAACUUCAGGAAACUGGGGCUAAUACCGGAUAGGAGCUCCUGCAGCAUGGUGGGGGUGGGAAAUUUUCGGCGGUUGGGGAUGGAUUCGCGGCUUAUCAGUUUGUUGGUGGGGUAGUGGAUUACCAAGGCAUUGACGGGUAGCCGGCCUGAGAGGGUGACCGGCCACAUUGGGACUGAGAUACGGCCCAGAGUCCUACGGGAGGCAGCAGUGGGGAAUCUUGCACAAUGGGCGGACGCCUGAUGCAGAGACGCCGCGUGCGGGAUGACGGCCUUCGGGUUGUAAACCGCUUUCGCCUGUGACGAAGCGUGAGUGACGGUAAUGGGUAAAGAAGCACCGGCUAACUACGUG
This 468-nucleotide ribosomal RNA is filed under the name uncultured bacterium. Its description in RNAcentral is "partial 16S ribosomal RNA". It matches the Rfam family "Bacterial small subunit ribosomal RNA", at positions 28 to 507 of the family's 1533-position model. The record is from RNAcentral.